Molecule: long non-coding RNA, 577 nt
Filed under: Solanum tuberosum (potato)
Lineage: Eukaryota; Viridiplantae; Streptophyta; Magnoliopsida; Solanales; Solanaceae
Description: long non-coding RNA (STUB_LNC005089)
Source: RNAcentral
CGUUGAGAAAACUACAUAUGAAGAAACAACCUAUGGAGAGAGUGAAAAAACUAGCACCUAUGGUGAGAAAACUAGUUAUGGUGAUGAUACAUAUGGCGAAAAAACUACCACAUUCGGAGAUGACAACAAAUAUGGUGAGAAAACUAGUUAUGGUAAGGGAGAUGACAACAAGUAUGGUGAGAAAACUAGUUAUGGUGAUGAUACAUAUGGCGAAAAAACUACCACAUUCGGAGAUGACAACAAAUAUGGUGAGAAAACUAGUUAUGGUAAGGGAGAUGACAACAAGUAUGGUGAGAAAACUAGUUAUGGUGAUGAUACAUAUGGCGAAAAAACUACCACAUUCGGAGAUGACAACAAAUAUGGUGAGAAAACUAGUUAUGGUGAGGGAGAUGACAACAAGUAUGGAGAGAAAACUAGUUAUGGAGAUAGCGGAUACGGAGAGAAACCUAGUUAUGGUGGGGGAGAUGACAACAAAUAUGGUGAGAAAACUAGUUAUGGUAAUGAGGAAGGUGGCUAUGGUGGAGGAGUUGGUGAGACUACUAAUUAUGAAGAGAAUGAAAGUGAAACCAAAACUUCU